Molecule: ribosomal RNA, 792 nt
Filed under: uncultured bacterium
Lineage: Bacteria
Description: bacterial SSU rRNA
Rfam family: Bacterial small subunit ribosomal RNA
Source: RNAcentral
AAUUAUUGGGCGUAAAGAGCUCGUAGGCGGUUUGUCGCGUCUGCCGUGAAAGUCCGGGGCUUACUCCGGAUCUGCGGUGGGUACGGGCAGACUAGAGUGCAGUAGGGGAGACUGGAAUUCCUGGUGUAGCGGUGAAAUGCGCAGAUAUCAGGAGGAACACCGAUGGCGAAGGCAGGUCUCUGGGCUGUAACUGACGCUGAGGAGCGAAAGCAUGGGGAGCGAACAGGAUUAGAUACCCUGGUAGUCCAUGCCGUACACGUUGGGCACUAGGUGUGGGGGACAUUCCACGUUUUCCGCGCCGUAGCUAACGCAUUAAGUGCCCCGCCUGGGGAGUACGGCCGCAAGGCUAAAACUCAAAGGAAUUGACGGGGGCCCGCACAAGCGGCGGAGCAUGCGGAUUAAUUCGAUGCAACGCGAAGAACCUUACCAAGGCUUGACAUGAACCGGAAUGAUGCAGAGAUGUGUCAGCCACUUGUGGCCGGUUUACAGGUGGUGCAUGGUUGUCGUCAGCUCGUGUCGUGAGAUGUUGGGUUAAGUCCCGCAACGAGCGCAACCCUCGUUCCAUGUUGCCAGCGGGCUAUGCCGGGGACUCAUGGGAGACUGCCGGGGUCAACUCGGAGGAAGGUGGGGACGACGUCAAAUCAUCAUGCCCCUUAUGUCUUGGGCUUCACGCAUGCUACAAUGGCCGGUACAAAGGGUUGCGAUACUGUGAGGUGGAGCUAAUCCCAAAAAGCCGGUCUCAGUUCGGAUUGAGGUCUGCAACUCGACCUCAUGAAGUUGGAGUCGCUAGUA